Molecule: long non-coding RNA, 345 nt
Filed under: Gallus gallus (chicken)
Lineage: Eukaryota; Metazoa; Chordata; Aves; Galliformes; Phasianidae
Description: long non-coding RNA NONGGAT004149
Source: RNAcentral
CUGAGAAGGAGUGCUGUGUAGCCAAAGAUCCCUUUUGCCAGCUCUCCAUAUCUCUGCUCCUCCAUUCUAAAUAAGAGAAGAACGUUACAAUUGCGUCUCAGCGCUGCAUAAGUCUAUGAGAGGCUCAGAUGAAAACGCCUCCCUCUGCUGGCUUGCUCGAAUGCUUGAAGGUGGUGAAGAUCCACUCUACGUGGCGAGGAGGCUGGUGAGGUUUGCAAGCGAAGAUAUAGAUGUUCUGUAUAUACAUAAUUUCACAAGAUCCACUGUCAGCUGAAGAGCCGGAUCUGAUAAUCACGGUUAGCUAUAUAGAAUGGAAGAAUUUCCAUGUCAGUUGAGAUUGUUUUC